UAUAUCCUGCCUUGUGCGAUAAGUUUUACAUUUUGCGUCAACCACAUUUCGUAAAAGGGAAUCGUGUUCGGGUGUUGAUGUCAGGUCACGAAGGCUUCCGUGUGGAGUCAGAAAGCAUUGCUUCAGUGAAAGACAGAGGGCAUUCGGUAGAUUACCCACCCUGUUUUAGCAGGUUGAAUCCAUCGUAAAACCCGGCAAGGCGGGAUUUUU
RNAcentral lists this non-coding RNA (210 nucleotides) under Candidatus Fimimonas gallinarum. RNAcentral describes it as "6S RNA". It matches the Rfam family "6S / SsrS RNA". Rfam says of the family: E. coli 6S RNA was the first non coding RNA to be sequenced, but its function was unknown until recently. It consists of 184 nucleotides that fold into an extended hairpin structure with a large single-stranded internal bulge. Lineage: Bacteria; Pseudomonadati; Myxococcota; Myxococcia; Myxococcales; Myxococcaceae. The record is from RNAcentral.